GCCUUGCAACACAUCGGUGUCAUCUCUGCUCGCCUCUUGGCCCAGGCCGUGAAAGCAUGGCAGCUGCAGAGGCAGAGGUGGUUUCACCUCUGAUUGUGGACACAGCUCCUGACACUUCAGGAACAGCCGAGGCCUCUGUAGCAGCAUCGGUGGCGGAAGCGGCCAGGACUGAAUCGCAAGCCCCGGCCUCCAAGGCCGCCCUGGCUGCUAAGCUCAUGUCGCUGAGCGGCGUGUUCGCCGUGCACAAGCCCAAAGGGCCCACUUCAGCCGAGCUGCUGAACCGGCUGAAGGAGAAGCUGCUGGCAGAAGCUGGAAUGCCUUCUCCAGAAUGGAACAAGAGGCAAAAGCAGACAUUGAAAGUCGGACACGGAGGGACGCUGGACAGUGCAGCGCAAGGUGUUCUGGUGGUUGGGAUUGGAAGAGGAACAAAAAUGUUGACCAGUAUGUUGUCGGGGUCCAAGAGGUAUAUCACCAUCGGAGAACUGGGGAAAGCCACGGACACCCUGGAUUCUACUGGGAAGGUAACGGAAGAGAAGCCGUAUGAUAAAAUAACACGAGAAGAUAUCGAAGGCAUUCUGCAGAAGUUUACUGGGAAUAUAAUGCAAGUACCCCCGCUCUAUUCUGCGCUGAAGAAGGAUGGGCAGAGACUCUCAACGCUAAUGAAGAAAGGCAAGGUGGUGGAGGCCAGACCGGCCCGGCCCGUGACUGUCCACAGUAUCUCCCUCCUGAAGUUCCAGCCUCCGUUCUUCACGCUGGGGUUUCUCUGUAUAGCCCUGGCUGUCCUGGAACUCACUUUGUAGACCAGGCUGGCCUCGAACUCAGAAAUCCGCCUGCCUCUGCCUCCUGAGUGCUGGGAUUAAAGGCAUGUGCUAUCAUGCCCGGCGCUGGAAUUUUUUUUGAAUGUAAGAAAAGUUGUGGUUUGAUUUCCUGAGGUACAUGUAACUUCUUACAGGUUCAGGGUAACCCGAGUAGACCGAUGCUCGUGUUUGACUAUCAUCUUACUGUAAACUUGGGAUUGAAUACUUAGGAUCUCUUUAGAGAAAUACGUCGAGGAUGAGUGUUUUCAAGAUUUUAGAGGCUGCCCUCCAGAGAUGGCUCAGCAGUUAGGAGCACUAACUGCUCUUCCAAGGACCUGGGUUUGAUUCCCAGCACCCUCAUGGCGGUUCGCAGCCCUCCAUGACUCCAGUCCCAGGGAAUUCUAUACCCUCUGACCUCUUUGGGAAGGAGAUACACAGUCCUCAGACAUAUGCACAAAUAAAGACCACAAAUGUAACAAUUAAAGUAAAUAGAACUCUUACAAAAUUACAGUUUUUAUCUUACAGAUACUUUUUCUUCCAUUUUUUAUACUUAAUAUAUUUCAUUUUAGAGUAAAUAUUGAUCUUUUGAACGAAGCCCUUUUUGUUCAUUGGGAAUAAGAGGCUAUAAAAGCAGACUGAUUUCUGUUGGCCGGCCCCUCCGCUGUGAACUGCAAGUUAAUUGAUGUUAAAGUAGCUAAGACAAAAAGCAUGGUUGGACACCUGGUUACAGUUUUAGCUAAGCCUCUCAAUUGGAAUAUGUGAUGCAUACUUGAAGUCAAAUAAAAAGCCAAAAUACUUGUUUAUACAGUUUUAAAGUUGUACAAGCCUAUAUAGUUUUUUGUCCUCGGGCUCCUGAAAUUGAUCCAGUGAAUAAUUUCACAGUAACGGUGAAUAGAAUCUCUUUCCCAUGGGGUUUCCCAAAGCUAUCCUUCCUCCACCAUCACAGUGUCUCCUUGUGAUACACAGUAAGUUCCUGCAGACGGUGAUGCAGUCAAAACCGGGCUCAGUCUUAUGUUUCCUGAUUCUAAACGACUUGACAAACGAACAAAAACACAAACACCCCAGACCUACCAAGUGGUCCGUUCCAUUCACUCCAUGAAAACGCAGACUCCACUUUGGCAGAGCCAGUAAAACCUGGAGGAUCAGGGUUUCCUGGCUGCCAGUCAGUCAGAGAAGUGCCUCACUGUAUUGACCGGAGAGUGUGGAAGAGGGAGUGUACCUGGUUUCUUCUGCAAAGUCGGGUGUCAUGCAGGAGUCACCCUCCACGGCACUGUGUGGCUUAGAUUUAUCUAAUGCUUUGGUUAUGUUUUUCUCAGAAGUAUUUCCGAGGAAACGUGAGCACACAGGACUCUCGGUGUGUGCCUCCGAAGCAUAGUUCUUCUCAUGGGCAAAGGGAGUUUUGGUUGGUGCUUGGUUAUAUAUGUAUGUUUUUUCAAAUGUUAUAAAAUCUGAAAAUAUUUAAGAAAUCUACGGCUCGCAAUAGAAAAGCUGAGAUUUCUGACCAUUUCAAGCACAGUAAAUGAACAAAGUGUACAGAUCUGAAGAUAUUCUUUUUAGCAUCUCGAGCUCAUGAGAGCAGAGCUGGGAUUUCUAUUUCAAACCUAUUAAAUGAACAAGGCUGAGGUAUUAACGUGGUUCGGCUUGCCAGUUAAUUUAAAAUGUGUUCCUGACUUUCUGCCUACUCCACACUCAGACUUUUGGAUCUCACAAACACAUAUGCUGCUGGAUGAAUAAUUUAUGGCUCAGCAUAUAAAUAUUUUAUGGCUCAAUUGUUUGCAUAGCCAUUUUUACAUGUGUUGAAGAGCGUGGUUUCUAUGUAAAGUGGAGCUCUCCGGAGGCCAGCCUCUCACCACAGCACUGCUGACCUUCCAGAUGUUGAAUGCGGAGGAGGCUUUUACAUCCGGAGCCUGGUCAGUGACAUCGGCAAAGAGCUCUCUUCCUGUGCCAGCGUGCUGGAGCUGACCCGCACCAAACAGGGGCCCUUCACACUUGCACAGCACGCCCUCCCCGAAGACAGGUGGACCAUCGAUGACAUCGAACAGUCCCUCGAGCGCUGCACGUCUCUUCUGCCGGAGGAGCUGACAUUUAAAAAACUAAAAUCUGACAACUCCAGUGACCAGGUUAUAAGCUGUGGAUAUAUAACUCUCAGGGACACAAAGAGAGAAGAUGACGCAGUUAAGACACUGUGAGGCCGGCCUGGGAGGAUCAUUUCCUGGUUGGUGUCUGUCCCGACCAGGAAUGCCCAUACACCUCUUGAGUUCUUUGCAAGAUGUCUUAAUGUCUCUGAAUGAUGGAUCUGAUUGGAUUCAGAUAAAUAAGUUUUCUGAAUUUGAUCUUCCCUUAGUCUUUUUCCUAUGAAAAAGUUAAACAAUAUUCUAAUGACAGAAUCCUGAAGUCUGAGCUGCAGGUUCCACUGGUCUCACAGAAGUGUCAAACUUGCUUUGCUUAGACUCGGGGAGGGGGCGUUCGUUGUUUUGAAAUUCUCUGAAUACAUUUGAAGUGUUCAGUGUCGAGCUGUCCUGUGUGUUUGCAGAGCCUAUGGCUGCUGGAAGGUGCUGGUGGGCUGUACUCAGCUGUGACUGUGUUUCUUAAAUCCCGGGAAUCAAUACGUUGUCCUAAUACAUAUCUGUAAAUGCACAAACUCCUGCUUUGGCCACUGACAGAAUGUAAAUAGCGUGAGACGUGAUUCAUUUCAGAUCCUGUAUUCAGCAGAGCUCAGCUCCUGUAGCCGUGGACUGUGGCAGCUAUUUCUGUGGUCAACCACAUGGUAUCAAAGUACCAAAAAUGUGAUUUUCUAGAAUAUAAACUAAAGAAUGUAUCUUGAAUUAAAAUGCUCUCCUGCCUGUUCGUUAGCGCCUCUCUGUGACUGCGGAACCCUGGUCCAGUGACAUGGUUUCUGUAGUUAUGAAGAAUAUGAUCACAUUUUCAAACAGCAGAUUUUAUGAGUGCUUCAUUGUUUUGUUAUAGUAAUAUCUAUUCUUUUAUUGUGUGUUUUGAGUUCUUGAAGACAAGGAAACUGAGGACACUGGAGAGGCGAAGACACACUGCCUGUCCAGCAGGCACGGAGUGUAGAUUCUGCACCCACCCACAGCAGGCGGCUCUCGCUACUUCAGCUCCAAGGGACCCAGCACCCACUUGUGGCCUGUGGGCCCCUGUGAACGAACACCCAUGCCUCCACACACAUACAUAAAAUAAUUACUUUAAGAUAUCGAGAUUUAACGCAGGAUGGCCCCACUCAUUAUGUAGCCAAGACUCCUCCUGUAUCUACCUCCCAAGUGUAGAGGUUAGAGGCAUAGGCCACUGACUCCUGCAGGAAUGUGGAAAGGUAUUGUACAGCUGUGGCAAUAGUCAAGGCUUCCCUCAUUUACUAACGUAUAUUUUCAAAAAGAAGAUUUAUUAAACAUUCCGUAAAGUACAAGUUUUUAUAUUUUUCAUACCUUUCCUCUUAGAGGUUGUUGCCUCUAAAAUAUUUUAAAUAAGCAGACUGACGGUUUUAUUGUGGUUAAUGUAAUGCAAACCUAAUAUAAACAGUUGGGUGCUUCAACAGGGCAUUCUCAGCAGACUGGCAACGUGUUUUAAUAAAAACGUUAAUGUUAACUCAGGGCAGGUAACCUGGCUCAGCUGGUGACACCAGGACCAAUGACUUGAGCUUUGACCCCUGGGCAACCUUUGUGAGAACCUCUACCCCAGCAAGUUGUCCACAAACACUCUGCAGUGCGCGUACACCGUGCCCAUCCCCCACACAUAAAAAACCAAAAGAAUGAAAUGUUUUUAAAUUUAAAAACGAAUUCUUAGUAUGAGACUGAAAAAUACAAGUGUUGUAUUAUGGUAAAUUGAUGAAUUGGAAGUUACACAGCUUUGAGCCUGAUGUCACGGUGAAGCUUUAAUCCCAGCACUCAGGAGGCGUGGCCAUGUGGAGUUCUGUGAGUUCCAGGUCAGCCAGGACUACACAGGACUUCGGAGUGGGACCCUGUAUGUUUAUAUUUUUAUAUAUUCCUAUCUAAUGUCCUGUAAUUCGUGUAACCAAAGGUGAUGUUAGAUCCUGCUGCCCGUUAGAACGGACUAGGCUGUACAUGGUAUGUCUUCAUCAUGAACAGCUCAAGCCUGAAUAGACCAUACAGCCUAGAGGUUUCUUUUUUCUUUUUUCUUUUACUGGAUAUUUUAUUUAUUUACAUUUCAAAUGUUAUCCCCUUCCCCGGUUUCCCCUCCAGAAACCCCCAAUCCCACCAUCCCUCCCCCUGCUUCUAUGAGGGUGUUCCCCCACCCACCCACCCACUCCCAUAUCCCUGCCCUGGCAUUCUGGGGCAUCGAGCCUUCACAGGACCAAGGGCCUCUCCUCCCAUUGAUGCCCUACAAGGCUGUCCUCUGCUACAUAUGCGGCUGCAGCCAUGGGUCAAUCUAUACUCUUCUCAUAGUGAAGAGUAAAAUUUAUGAAAAAGCAAGCAAGUUCAAGAAAUGGCAGUCAGUCUUUUCCUUUUGUUUGGAAAUGCUGGAGAAAUUAUGCAGGUUUUAAAAAUGCCCAUAAUGUUCACCAUCUUAAUGCACUCAUUUUGGAUUUUAUUUUUAUAUUGCAUUUUCCUCUUUAUUUACAUAAUUCAGGCUCCUCUGCUCUUACUGAUUCUUGAGACGAUUUUAUCUGGGCACAUUUAGUCUUCACGAAUAUAUCUGUUAUAUCUCUGUACUCAGUUCAUUUAAACUACUUUCCCGGGGCUACACACAUAAGCAGCCUUUUUUUUUUUCUAGGACACAUUCUUGUAAUGUGGUUAUUUUAGGGGAAGCAAUAAGAGCUUGUGAUCCCCUGGGCUGUAACAUAUAGUACCACCAUUGUUUGGGAUUUUAUACAUUGUUGCUAAAGUUUCCCUGCUUUUGUGUGACCUACCUUCACACCCUGUUCAUUUGUCUAAAUAAAUGUUUCUUUGUAUGUAA
Molecule: RNA transcript, 5723 nt
Organism: Mus musculus (house mouse)
Lineage: Eukaryota; Metazoa; Chordata; Mammalia; Rodentia; Muridae
Gene: Trub1
Gene name: TruB pseudouridine (psi) synthase family member 1
Exons: 8
Source: RefSeq, marked validated